Small nucleolar RNA from Jaculus jaculus (lesser Egyptian jerboa), 129 nucleotides. The record is from Ensembl. Lineage: Eukaryota; Metazoa; Chordata; Mammalia; Rodentia; Dipodidae.
AAGCCAGCCAACUGGUCUGCUUAUCUGAAUGUGUUUCUGCAGAACUGUCGAGAGCUGGCAAUGGUGAUGGCAUGUUACGAGCCUUAAGAACAGCUGAGGUCGUUAAAGACCCUGAAAGUGGCUAUGAUA